AGUGACAGCGCCCAGGGGAACAAACGCCGCUUGUUCCCGGCUGGCCGCACUUCCGCCUCCUCCCCUCCAUUCAAUCCCAGCGCCGCCGAUGCUCCCUCCAUCUCCAUGCCAUGCGGGCUCCAAACACUUUUACCUCGGCGAGGGGAACAGGCAGGAGAAAGCAUGUGAUCACACGCAGUCGAGAACCUUGUUUUCCUUGGACUGAAACUAUUCCUUUCACCUGUGUGAAAGAAGUUUUCAUCUGAGGCAAAUGAAAAAUAUUCCAUUCCCACCACCCUCCACUGUGCCAGCUCUGUAAAGCAUGAAAGGAAUGAGGCUGGAGAGAAACCAUCUGAAAAGAAAUCAACCCUUUGUGGAGAAGGCUGAUUGAGCCCCAAUUUGCAGAGGUUAAUACAGCUGCACAAUCCAGCAUCCAAGCAGGAGCCUGUGGUGCCAGUGUGGGUAGUUCUGCUGGGCAGGCUGUGCCAGGAACAGUUGGUUUGUUUGGUGCCUGGACACCGUGGCACUGAUGGAGCUGCACUUUCACCUGUGGUAAGAACUUCAUAUCCAAAAAUCUCAGAUUUAAACAGUAAGGUAAUUUUUUAGUCCCACAUCUGUAUUUUAAAAGUGCAGGCUUACAGAAAGUCUGAAAGCUGUCAUCUCACUGAUCACUGAAAUCAGAUUCUGGUUCACAUAGAGAAAAUGUGCCAAAAAGGAAGAACCUGUUCUUACACUUGCUGCCACUACAAAGUUUUAUCAGACAAGGAUGACACAAGGUGGCAUUUUCACACUUCAGGUGCAUCUGGAGUCAGUGGCAGAGUAACAGAUCCACGCUGCUGUUAUCCAGAGAUCUCAUCUUCCCAGCCCUCUCAGCCAACCUUCUCCUUACCUCAUGUAACACACCACUCUAAGUAAGAAAUUUAAGGUACCCAGCAGCCC
Long non-coding RNA from Serinus canaria (Common canary), 918 nucleotides. RefSeq lists it as uncharacterized. The transcript has 3 exons. The record is from RefSeq and is a predicted model, not a curated record. Lineage: Eukaryota; Metazoa; Chordata; Aves; Passeriformes; Fringillidae.